GCGAAGGUGGCGGAAUUGGUAGACGCGCUAGCUUCAGGUGUUAGUGUUCUUACGGAUGUGGGGGUUCAAGUCCCCCCCCUCGCACCA
This 87-nucleotide transfer RNA is filed under the name Escherichia coli. Its description in RNAcentral is "tRNA-Leu". It matches the Rfam family "tRNA". From Rfam's summary of the family: Transfer RNA (tRNA) molecules are approximately 80 nucleotides in length. Their secondary structure includes four short double-helical elements and three loops (D, anti-codon, and T loops). The record is from RNAcentral. RNAcentral also lists the same sequence under 1 other name. Lineage: Bacteria; Pseudomonadati; Pseudomonadota; Gammaproteobacteria; Enterobacterales; Enterobacteriaceae.